This 1638-nucleotide long non-coding RNA is filed under the name Oncorhynchus mykiss (rainbow trout). RNAcentral describes it as "lncRNA (ENSOMYG00000062553.1)". Lineage: Eukaryota; Metazoa; Chordata; Actinopteri; Salmoniformes; Salmonidae. The record is from RNAcentral.
GCUGUUGUAGAGCCAAUUGAGGCUGUUGUAGAGUUCAUUGAGGCUGUUGUAGAGCCCAUUGAGGCUGUUGUAGAGCCCAUUGAGGCUGUUGUAGAGCCCAUUGAGGAUGUUGUAGAGCCCAUUCAGGCUGUUGUAGAGCCCAUUCAGGCUGUUGUAGAGCCCAUUGAGGAUGUUGUAGAGCCCAUUCAGGCUGUUGUAGAGCCCAUUCAGGCUGUUGUAGAGCCCAUUGAGGCUGUUGUAGAGUUCAUUGAGGCUGUUGUAGAGCCCAUUGAGACUGUUGUAGAGCCCAUUGAGGCUGUUGUAGAGCCCAUUGAGGAUGUUGUAGAGCCCAUUGAGACUGUUGUAGAGCCCAUUGAGGCUGUUGUAGAGCCCAUUGAGGAUGUUGUAGAGCCCAUUGAGGAUGCUGUAGAGCCCAUUGAGGAUGUUGUAGAGUUCAUUGAGGAUGUUGUAGAGCCCAUUGAGGCUGUUGUAGAGCCCAUUGAGGCUGUUGUAGAGCCCAUUGAGGCUGUUGUAGAGCCCAUUGAGGAUGUUGUAGAGCCCAUUCAGGCUGUUGUAGAGCCCAUUCAGGCUGUUGUAGAGCCCAUUGAGGCUGUUGUAGAGUUCAUUGAGGCUGUUGUAGAGCCCAUUGAGACUGUUGUAGAGCCCAUUGAGGCUGUUGUAGAGCCCAUUGAGGAUGUUGUAGAGCCCAUUGAGACUGUUGUAGAGCCCAUUGAGGAUGUUGUAGAGCCCAUUGAGGAUGUUGUAGAGCCCAUUGAGGAUGCUGUAGAGCCCAUUGAGACUGUUGUAGAGCCCAUUGAGGAUGUUGUAGAGCCCAUUGAGGCUGUUGUAGAGUUCAUUGAGGCUGUUGUAGAGCCCAUUGAGGCUGUUGUAGAGCCCAUUGAGGAUGUUGUAGAGUUCAUUGAGGAUGUUGUAGAGUUCAUUGAGGAUGCUGUAGAGCCCAUUGAGGAUGUUGUAGAGUUCAUUGAGGAUGCUGUAGAGCCCAUUGAGGAUGUUGUAGAGUUCAUUGAGGAUGUUGUAGAGUUCAUUGAGGAUGCUGUAGAGUUCAUUGAGGCUGUUGUAGAGCCCAUUAAGGCUGUUAUAGAGUUCAUUGAGGAUGUUGUAGAGCCCAUUGAGGAUGUUGUAGAGUUCAUUGAGGAUGUUGUAGAGUUCAUUGAGGAUGUUGUAGAGUUCAUUGAGGAUGUUGUAGAGUUCAUUGAGGAUGCUGUAGAGUCCAUUGAGGAUGCUGUAGAGUCCAUUGAGGAUGCUGUAGAGUCCAUUGAGGAUGUUGUAGAGCCCAUUGAGGAUGUUGUAGAGCCCAUUGAGGAUGUUGUAGAGCCCAUUGAGGAUGCUGUUGAGCCCAUUGAGGAUGCUGUAGAGUCCAUUGAGGAUGCUGUAGAGUCCAUUGAGGAUGUUGUAGAGCCCAUUGAGGCUGUUGUAGAGCCCAUUGAGGCUGUUGUAGAGCCCAUUGAGGCUGUUGUAGAGCCCAUUGAGGAUGUUGUAGAGCCCAUUGAGGAUGCUGUAGAGUUCAUUGAGGAUGUUGUAGAGCCCAUUGAGGCUGUUGUAGAGUUCAUUGAGGAUGUUGUAGAGCCCAUUGAGGCUGUUGUAGAGUUCACUGAGGAUGCUGUAGAGCCCAUUGAGGCUGUUGUAGAGUUCAUUUAG